UGCAGUCGAGCGGUAGAGAGAAGCUUGCUUCUCUUGAGAGCGGCGGACGGGUGAGUAAUGCCUAGGAAUCUGCCUGGUAGUGGGGGAUAACGUUCGGAAACGGACGCUAAUACCGCAUACGUCCUACGGGAGAAAGCAGGGGACCUUCGGGCCUUGCGCUAUCAGAUGAGCCUAGGUCGGAUUAGCUAGUUGGUGAGGUAAUGGCUCACCAAGGCGACGAUCCGUAACUGGUCUGAGAGGAUGAUCAGUCACACUGGAACUGAGACACGGUCCAGACUCCUACGGGAGGCAGCAGUGGGGAAUAUUGGACAAUGGGCGAAAGCCUGAUCCAGCCAUGCCGCGUGUGUGAAGAAGGUCUUCGGAUUGUAAAGCACUUUAAGUUGGGAGGAAGGGUUGUAGAUUAAUACUCUGCAAUUUUGACGUUACCGACAGAAUAAGCACCGGCUAACUCUGUGCCAGCAGCCGCGGUAAUACAGAGGGUGCAAGCGUUAAUCGGAAUUACUGGGCGUAAAGCGCGCGUAGGUGGUUUGUUAAGUUGGAUGUGAAAUCCCCGGGCUCAACCUGGGAACUGCAUUCAAAACUGACUGACUAGAGUAUGGUAGAGGGUGGUGGAAUUUCCUGUGUAGCGGUGAAAUGCGUAGAUAUAGGAAGGAACACCAGUGGCGAAGGCGACCACCUGGACUAAUACUGACACUGAGGUGCGAAAGCGUGGGGAGCAAACAGGAUUAGAUACCCUGGUAGUCCACGCCGUAAACGAUGUCAACUAGCCGUUGGAAGCCUUGAGCUUUUAGUGGCGCAGCUAACGCAUUAAGUUGACCGCCUGGGGAGUACGGCCGCAAGGUUAAAACUCAAAUGAAUUGACGGGGGCCCGCACAAGCGGUGGAGCAUGUGGUUUAAUUCGAAGCAACGCGAAGAACCUUACCAGGCCUUGACAUCCAAUGAACUUUCUAGAGAUAGAUUGGUGCCUUCGGGAACAUUGAAACAGGUGCUGCAUGGCUGUCGUCACCUCGUGUCUUGGGAUGUUGGGUUAAGUCCCGUAACCAGCGCAACCCUUGUCCUUAGUUACCAG
RNAcentral lists this ribosomal RNA (1069 nucleotides) under Pseudomonas gessardii. Its description in RNAcentral is "bacterial SSU rRNA". It matches the Rfam family "Bacterial small subunit ribosomal RNA", at positions 56 to 1121 of the family's 1533-position model. The record is from RNAcentral. Lineage: Bacteria; Pseudomonadati; Pseudomonadota; Gammaproteobacteria; Pseudomonadales; Pseudomonadaceae.